CCGAUCUAAGCGGCCGACGGGCGAGUAAUGCUCAGGAAUCUGCCUAGUACUGGGGGACAACAUUUCUAAAGGAAUGCUAAUACCGCACACGUCCUACUGGAGAAAGCAAGGGAUCUUCGGACCUUGGGCUAAUAGAUGAGCCUAUGUCGGAUUACCUACUUGGUGGGGUAAAGGCCUACCAAGGCGACCAUCUGUAGCGGGUCUGACAGGAUGAUCCGCCACACUGGGACUGACACACUGCCCAUACUCCUACGGGAGGCAGCAUUGGGGAAUAUUGGACAAUGGGCGCACGCCUGAGCCAGCCAUGCCGCGUGUGUGACGAAGGCCUUAUGGUUGUAGAGCACUUUAAGCGAGGAUGAGGCUACUUUAGUUAAUACCUACAGAUAGUGGACGUUACUCGCAUAAUAAGCACCGGCUAACUCUGUGCCAGCAGCCGCGGUAAUACAGAGGGUGCAAGCGUUAAUCGGAUUUACUGGGCGUAAAGCGCGCGUAGGCGGCUAAUUAAGUCAGAUGUGAAAUCCCCGAUCUUAACUUGCGAAUUGCAUUCGAUACUGGUUAGCUAAAGUGUGGGAAAUGAUGGUAGAAUUACGAGUGUAGCGGUGAAAUGCGUACAGAUCUGGAGGAAUACCGAUGGAGAAAGCAGCCAUCUGGCCUAACACUGACGCUCAGGUGCGAAAGCAUGGGGAGCAAACAGGAUUA
This 699-nucleotide ribosomal RNA is filed under the name Acinetobacter sp. Its description in RNAcentral is "bacterial SSU rRNA". It matches the Rfam family "Bacterial small subunit ribosomal RNA", at positions 86 to 780 of the family's 1533-position model. Lineage: Bacteria; Pseudomonadati; Pseudomonadota; Gammaproteobacteria; Moraxellales; Moraxellaceae. The record is from RNAcentral.